CAUGGUCUAAAUUAUGGACCCCAAUUAAAUAGACAUUAAAGAAGUUAAAAAUGUGAAUAAAAAAGUCAAUAUAUUUAGGCAAUUAAUAAAUCAUAAUAAUUAGUGGUAAUGUAGUAAAUAAAAAAACCAAAUUAAUUAUCGUACUAAUUUUACUUAUGUUAUAUUUUGUAUUAAAUUUGCCACAACUUUUAAUACAAGAUAAAUUUGACAAACUUGGUAGAUAUUAUUGUAGGAAUAAUUUUUUUUUUUAAUUGUGGUAAAAUAUAGUAUUGUUCUACCAUUUUGUGUUCCAUUAGAGAUGCUAUUAGUGGAGAUAUAUAGUAACAGGAAAAAGUCAAAAAGUUUGACUCGGAUUGUUCGGGGUACUUAUAUUUUAGAGUGACAAGCACUAAUGCCAAAUCAACAACCACACAUUCCCACUAUGAUAUGUAUAGUACCUAGGAAUUUGGACUUAGAUUAGCGGUCAAGGAUUAACGGUCAAAGACAUUGAAUGCUGAAAAGCAAUGUUCCACUACUAGUACUAUAAAGUGUUACACAUCAAUGAUCAAAUUAUAUUAUAUAUGAAUCUCUUAUUUAAAUGCCAUUUCGUCCAAAAAGAUUCAUAUUCGCGUGCUUAACUUAGAGCAUUAAGGAAAUUAAAUAUAAUAAAAUGGCAAUAGCUAGACCAUGUAUUUAUGAUAUGAUGUGGUGUUAGCAUAGUACUCUUCUACGUUUUAAAUUAUCAAUCAAUUGCUUCUUCAAGGCGAACAGACUCUGGCCUUCACUGCAACCAUGGCUGAUGCUUUCACCUCCGCACUUGUCAAUCAGUUUGUUUCGGGUGCCCUUCUAAAGAUUGAUGAAAAUUUGGAAUUGGUCCAGAAUGUAAAGAAAGAUGUCAAAAGGCUCAAAAAGAGUCUGAAAUACAUCCAAGAUUUGUUGGUAGAUGCUGGGACAAGACAACUCGACUCUCAAUGGUUGAAACAGUGGCUGAGUGAUCUCGAAGACAUAUCGUCGGACAUGGACGAUGUGUUGGAUGAGUGGAACUCUGCCAUUAUCAAGUCUGAAAUUGAGAAAUAUGAUCAAGAAGCAAAGGGUGGUGGUGAAGAUCGUGAUGAGAAUAGUGAUGUUCUGGCAAAGCAGGUAUGCUUUCCAGUGCCCUCUUCUUGGUUUUGUUUUAAACAAGUUAUUCAAGUGAUUAGGCACUGUGAUUUUGCUAAAAGAAUUAGGAAAUUGAACAAGGAACUAGAUAGUAUAAAAAAUGAUGGCCAUGAUCAUGGCAUAGUUAUGGGAGCUAUUUCUCAACAACAAUAUAUUCCUAGUUCCAUUGUCAAAUCAAGAAUCACUACUAUUUCUAUGAUUGAAGAAACUGAAAUACAUGGUCGAGAUGAUGAUAAGGAAAUUUUAGUGAGUAAGUUGCUAUGUGAUAUUACUCGAAAGGGUACCAAAGGGAUUGAUAUAAUUCCUAUUGUAGGAAUGGGGGGGCUUGGUAAAACUACCCUUGCCCAGCUAGUUUAUAAUGAUGAUAGGGUUAAGGCUCACUUUGAUAAGCGAAUUUGGGUGUGUGUCUCAGAACCUUUUGAUCAAAAAAGAGUUGCUAAGGCAAUUGUUGAUGGGCUAGGAGGAAAUGCCCAAAAUUAUGAUGAGCUAGAGAGUUUGGUGCAAUGCAUUAGUAACUCUGUCAAAGGAAUGAAGUUCCUUCUUGUCUUAGAUGAUGUAUGGACUGAGGAGAAACAAAAGUGGGAACAGUUAAAGCAACCUCUUAUGCAGGGUGGUGUAGGAAGUAGGAUAAUAGUGACAACAAGGAAAGAGGAGGUCACAAGAAUGAUGAGGGCAAUUGCUAGAAUGAUUACUCUAAAAAAAUUGUCUGAUGAGCAAUGUUGGUUGAUCAUUAGACAACUAGUAUUUGUGGAGGGAGAAGAAAAUGAGGUCAACUUGUUAGAAGAAAUUGGAAGAAAAAUUGCUAGUAAGUGUAAAGGCUUACCUCUUGUUGCAAAGGUUUUAGGAGGUCUUAUGUACUAUAGAAAGAGUGAAAGCCAGUGGAAUGACAUUUUGCAAAACAAAUUGUGGGAUUCAAAAGUUGUUGAGGAAGAGAUUUUUGCUCCAUUGUUGUUAAGUUAUUAUGACUUAUCUCCUUUGGAAAAAUGUUGCUACUUAUAUUGUUCCCUAUUUCCAAAGGAUUAUAAAUUUGAAAGAGAUACAUUGAUUGACAUGUGGAUGUCCCAAGGUUAUAUUGGUGAUUCAAGAACCGGUCAAGAGUGUUUUGAGAGUCUAGUCAUGCGAUCAUUUUUUGAUGAUUAUAUUCAAGAAUUUAAUGCAUAUGGUGCUUUUGAUCCAAGACAUUAUUACCUAAUGCAUGAUAUAGUGCAUGAUUUUACCCAAUUUCUGGCCAAAAAUAAAAUUUUUGUUGUUGAAUGCGACGAUAUCAGAGAGAAAAUGAAGUCCUUGGAACACAAAGUCUCUCAUUUGAAUGUGCUAAAUGUAAAAUCAAAUUCCUCAGACAAAGUUCUCACUUUGAAGGAUAUUGAAAGGGAUAUUCAAAGAAAAUUGCGUACCCUUCUCAUUUCGACCGAUGAAAUUGAAGUUGCACUUGAUUAUGAUUUCAUUCUCUCCAACCUCAAAGGUCUUCGAGUACUGUGUCUACCAGCUCUGGGUAUUGCCAAUCUACCCCAUUCUAUUACCACUUUGAUACAUUUGAGAUAUCUCGAUCUUUCAAACAAUUCCAAUUUGAGAAAAUUGCCUGAUUCACUGUGUGAUUUAUGUAACCUACAAACUUUAAAAAUAGCAAAUUGUUAUAAUCUUCAAAGGCUACCAGAAGGAAUUGGAAAGAUAGUUAAGUUGAGAUGUCUUUAUAACUAUGGUUGUUCUGAGUUAAAAGGGUUACCAAAGGGGUUUGGAAAACUAACUAGUCUUCAAAAGCUAGAAAUGAUUCCCAUACCCAAGAGAAACAAAGAAGCAUAUUUCCCAUUUGGAGAUUUGAAGAAUUUAGGCUUCUAUGAUCAUUUUCAAGGGUUUCUUCGUAUAAAACGGUGUGUAAAUUUGGCAUAUGUGGGUGAAGCUGAAAAGAUAAGCCUCGGAAAGAUGAAAGAGCUUGAGGAGUUGAGUCUAAACUUUAGAAUAUUUGAUGGAAGCAGUGUUGAAGAGGAAGCAAAGCCACAGAAUGAAGAUAUGAUACUUGAAGCCCUAAAGCCACAUCCAAACAUAAACGUUUUAACAAUCAGUCAAUACCAUGGAGCCAAAUUCCCAAGUUGGAUGACUUCAUUGAUCAAGUUGAAAUGCCUUACUCUUGUGGGAUUCGAUAAUUGUGAAACUCUACCUCCUUUAGGGAAAUUGCCAUGUUUGGAAUCCCUUCAAUUAUCCAUAAUGACAUGUGUGAAAAAGGUUGGUGUUGAGUUUUGGGGACUAAAUCAUGAAGAAGAAAAAGGAGACUCAUUCCCGAAAUUGAAGAAUCUUUGGUUUAAUUACUUUUCGAAAUGGACAAAAUGGGAAGGGAGUGAAGCAGCAGCAGCAGCGAGAAGUUCAUCAAGUUCAAAAGUUAUGCCAUGCCUACGUUCAUUGCGAAUUACGUAUUGUCGCAAUUUGGAAGCACUUCCUGAUUUUCUACGAAUGACGCCAUUGGAGGACUUGAGAAUUGGUGACUCGGCUAUCCUAGAACAAUCUUGCCUAAAGGAUUGGCUUCACAUCCCUAAUAUUGAAAUUAAUUACAGUCUUGUACAAAAAGAAGGAACGUGGAUUCAGAAGGAAAAGGAUCAAAAUAUGCCUAAACUUGAUGAACAGUCGAGCAAUAUUGAAAUUGAAGGUGUUUCUUCACCACAAAUAUCCAGGGAAUUAUAAGGGAAGUAAUGGAGAGUCAUCAUCCUAGCAUUAUUAAUUGUACUUAACAAGACCACAUAGAAGGAAUGCUAAAGAAGUGACAUUAAUACAGGUGAUUAAAGAAAGAAAAUCGAAUCAAUAGCAUCUUUGGGAGAAGAUGGAAUGAAGUUGGAGACAUCUUGCCCCGUUUGUGAUAGUGCCUCGGAGACGACAUACCAUGCCCUUGCUACUAUAUCCCGUUUCUCCUAGUUUUCCAGCCUCUGGAUUUUUAUGAAAUGCUAGACUUGAAAUGGAAAAACAGGCACUGGUAUUUUGGAGGACCCGGCAGAGAAGAAACAAGCUAGUGCAUGAAAAUGUGAGUUGGAACGUGAAUAUGGUUGUUAAAGGAUCAUUGGACUACUUACACAGAUUUUUAAUGAAGGAAGCUAGUGUCUAAUUUCUCCAUCCAAUCCUGACUGCGCAACCCAAUAUGGUGGUCUUAAAGCCAACGUCGAUGUUGCCAUUGACAUAGAGCAUUUUAGAGUCAGAAUAGGAGUACUCGUGAUGGACUGGUUCUGUUCUUGCUUCGUUAUUGUUGAAUACUGCUUUAGGAUUGUCCAUGUGAAUUUUAUGUUUUUUAUUUAAUUGAUUUUGCUUUGAUAUUUUAUUUCAAGUCGGUCAAUAAGAAAAUGCUAG
RNA transcript from Humulus lupulus (European hop), 4464 nucleotides. It is a transcript of the gene named putative disease resistance protein RGA3, with no coding region annotated. The transcript is spliced from 3 exons. The record is from RefSeq and is a predicted model, not a curated record. Lineage: Eukaryota; Viridiplantae; Streptophyta; Magnoliopsida; Rosales; Cannabaceae.